CAGAUUACUACUUUUUACAAAAUAGAUCUCCAGAUUUACCCAGCAGCACCAGACCAUAUUACUACUUUUUACAAAAUAGAUCUCCGGAUUUACCCAUAAUGUGGCAUCAGAUACACAAAAUAAAAAUCAUCGUAAGAACUUUACGGAAUACAGACGCGCGGAUCAUAUCGUUCUACCAGCAAGAUCCAUAAUCAUUGGCCAGUAGCUUAUAUAUUAAACAGGAUCCGAUUCCUAGCAAAAUUGUGUACACAGACACUUGAUAUUAGCUUCCAAUCUUAAAGCUAAAAAAUGAUAGAAUGAAUGCGCAGAUUAAUCAAAACAGGAGAGGGAAGAAAACCUAAUCUCGCAGAUGAAGGCAAUGCCCUUGUGCACCCAGUAGUUCAGUGUUGCGACUGCGAAAUCCAGCCCCAACGGCCCUUUGACCUACAGAAAAAUGAACAACGAACUCACCACCACCACCUCUGCACACCUCCCCAUGUUCCAGCCAACCAGAACAAUAGCGCUGCUAAUGCAGACAAUAACAAUCCAUUGAUGUGGGUGCAUGCGUGGUUGAGGGCUGAUUUUGGAAUGGGGGCGGGGAAGGGGCUGCAGUGCGUGCCAUGUCAGUCAAAUAUGG
This 616-nucleotide unclassified non-coding RNA is filed under the name Zea mays. RNAcentral describes it as "misc RNA Zm00001eb120560". Lineage: Eukaryota; Viridiplantae; Streptophyta; Magnoliopsida; Poales; Poaceae. The record is from RNAcentral.